Molecule: long non-coding RNA, 2620 nt
Organism: Bombus pyrosoma
Lineage: Eukaryota; Metazoa; Arthropoda; Insecta; Hymenoptera; Apidae
Exons: 3
Source: RefSeq, a predicted model, not a curated record
UGACGCCCGAAAUGUCUAACCACGCACACGUUAGCAACCGUAAGAGAGGUUUUCGUGUUGACAUCGUGUUUCCCGAACAAUUGAAAUUUAACGAGCUUCAACCGUUUUUCGACACUUCGAAAAGCAUCGUCAACCCUAAAAGAAUAUCGUGUACUCCGUCACAGGAUUCCGAGACGUUGAAUCUCAUCUCUGAAGAGCUUGCUCUUUUGCCCCUCUCAGACAUGUGACCACCACAAACACAGAUUCAGCGUACACAGACUAGUCUGAGCCACUCUCACGCACUCACGCAUGCACUCACAAACAGGUCGGCCAUCUUUCUUUCUGUUAGCCUGCACCCUACUCCUCCUACCCGCCAUUGCGCCCUCCUACACCUCCUCAACCUCGUACCCACCCCUCUCUGACGCUCCUCGCCCUCACGACCACCACCCUUCCGCCGACAACGACGGUCGACCUCGCUGCGCGCAUUGGCGUCCACCCUACAUUUUUUCACAGUCGAACGUUCUCGAUUCUCAAAACUUUCCUAAACAUCAUCCUCUGCAUGCUCAAAGGUUCCUGCGAAUAGCUGUACAAACAUUAUGGCUCGAUGCAGAAUAACGAGAGUUUACGACAGGAAAAAUAAAAAUUUACGACCGAUAGUGGAGAACAACCACAAGGACAUUACUUAGAAAAAGGUGGUCAAGUCAAACCUCGACGCAAUUUUCAACAGCGAUAUUAAAUAUUUUACGAAUAUUUUGGUUAUUCAUUUUGACUUGUAUUUAACGGACAUAUUAUGUUAAUUUUUUUUUUUUUUUUUUUUUUUGGAGUUUAUACAUAAAAGUGGUCGACCCUGUAGCGAGCUGCGUGGCUUUUCAGCGAUUUCCUACGCAACGUUCCGUUCCCAUAGAGCGAUUAAAUCUAUGCACCGUUGCCGACCCUCCGUUAAACAUGAUCGCCCCUCGAUGCGCAUUGCUGCGGCGGUCACCCCUCUUUUUCACUAAAUUUUUUUCCCUAGUAUCCUAUAAAAAAUCAACUUCAUUCCAAAGGAUAAUAUUCCGCGCUGUAAAAUAACCUUCUGAAGUUCGACCGUUAACAAUUACGAUUUUCAGAUGUAUUAUUUCCACGGAUACUACUAUGUCGUAACGAUGCUAUUAAUAAAUGGUACUGCAGCAAUUAUAGUUGUAAAUAAUUGUAAUUAAUAACUUCGAUUACUACUUGCUUAUUAACUUCAAUUUACAAUUUGCUUUAUUAUUAUAUUUUUUAUUUUAAUAAGAUCGAGAGCAGGUAAGGUCGGUAUAUAAUAUUGUUUAGUUCGCGAAUAACAUAGUUUCAGCGGAAACUGUGCUAGCAUGAAAAAGAAAAAAAUUGUUCGAUUAGAUCAACUACGGCGCUGUUAAAGGACUGACUAAUAAUUUGCUUGUAACUCGUUAUUCAAUGCGACCUCAGUUUUUCAAGCACGCAGUCACGAGAAACGUGGCAACCUCGGUUGACGUACAGUGUCGUGCAAACGUAUUACUGUAUUACGUACAACCACGAUACUAGCAGGUGUAACUAGGGCGCGAAGCUGAACAACCAUUUCGCGAUAUAGUUGCAUGGUGUUAUGAAAACAGGUGCAGGUAUACCCGAUUCUUGCUCUACGACGUCCAGUUUAGACCGACCGGCCUGUUGUUGACACACCAUCCCCGGUGAAUCAUUCCAAGGAUAAAGGAGAUUCAGACAAAAGAACGACCAGCGGAAAAUAAAUACAUACUUCGAAACGUUACUCUCGGAAUCUAUUAUUGCGGAGCAUUAUCAAAGUAACUGACCCCUUAUAAACAACGUGACGUGUAAUAUGCAACAAUAGAAUACGAACAGGGUGAAGUAUUCGUCACUAUUGAGAAGAUUAUAUAGCUAGAAUGUAUGUCACCACAUUAUAAUGAUUAACAUAUAAAGUUAAAUCCUUUGUAUCUCUUCAUAUAUUUACUAUUAGUCGACCUUUUCUGACGAUCAGCUGAGAAAUGGAAUAAUAUAGUUCGAGAAGUACCCGUUUGAAAUGUACUAUCCUAGUGUCGCUGAAAAAGUAACAUCACCAUUGUUUUCCAGAAAGAUUUAGGGUUUUUGAGCAAUUAACGAAAACACAAAUGUGUCAUACUAUAUCUGCAUGAGAAUCAAAACUGCAACCAGUUGGCAAAAAUGCAAACUGCUGUCAGAGCUCGACAUUCUUGUAAUGGAUAUAUCCUGACGACCACGCAGUCGUAAUCCACACACGUAAUAAAAGGAACAACGGAUGGGGAGUACAGGGAGAGGCAGCACGUUGCACAGUCAUCACCGUUACACGAAUGCGCAGGCGCACGAAGAUCGUGUACACGUUUUUUUGCACAUAAACUAGAAAUUGGAACGGAGAGAUUAAUUAACGCACGGGUGGUGACACUGUCGACUGCCGACCGAAAGGCACAUUCUGACACGUGCUCGAACUCGAGGCUGUGGCACUGAUCCGAUCUCGCGCGUUUGCGGAGACGAGUAAGUCAAAUGAGAAAAUACGAUAUACACGGGGGAAAAUCACUAAGAGGAAGUGAACACGAACGACAGUAACAACGAUGCUCCUUCACGAGGGAAGCAACUGCAAAAGUAUUACUGGGACUAAGGAAUAAGCAGCUGAAUGAAC